This 235-nucleotide ribosomal RNA is filed under the name uncultured bacterium. RNAcentral describes it as "partial 16S ribosomal RNA". It matches the Rfam family "Bacterial small subunit ribosomal RNA", at positions 120 to 354 of the family's 1533-position model. The record is from RNAcentral.
AGUAACCUGCCUUGGAGUGGGGAAUAACACAUCGAAAGAUGUGCUAAUACCGCAUAAUGCAGUUGGGCCGCAUGGCUCUGGCUGCCAAAGAUUUAUCGCUCUGAGAUGGACUCGCGUCUGAUUAGCUGGUUGGCGGGGUAACGGCCCACCAAGGCGACGAUCAGUAGCCGGACUGAGAGGUUGACCGGCCACAUUGGGACUGAGACACGGCCCAGACUCCUACGGGAGGCAGCAG